RNAcentral lists this ribosomal RNA (253 nucleotides) under uncultured bacterium. RNAcentral describes it as "partial 16S ribosomal RNA". It matches the Rfam family "Bacterial small subunit ribosomal RNA", at positions 524 to 776 of the family's 1533-position model. The record is from RNAcentral.
UACGUAGGGGGCAAGCGUUGUCCGGAUUUAUUGGGCGUAAAGCGCGUGUAGGCGGCCAGAUAGGUCUGCUGUGAAAACUCGAGGCUCAACCUCGAGCUGUCGGCGGAAACCAUCUGGCUAGAGUCCGGAAGAGGAGAAUGGAAUUCCUGGUGUAGCGGUGAAAUGCGCAGAUAUCAGGAAGAACACCUAUGGCGAAGGCAGCUCUCUGGGACGGUACUGACGCUGAGACGCGAAAGCGUGGGGAGCGAACAGG